UUAUUAGAUAAAUACGGAUUAUAUUGAUUACAAUUGGUUAAUCAAUUAUCUUAUCUUGUAGACUAUUUGCACUAUGUAUUUAAACUGUGUCUCAGAACAAAAACGUGAAUAACGAUUUCAAGUGGUCACUCUGGCAUAUUUAUAAUCAUGAAGAACUUCAUUGUCAUCGCACUGUUGUCAACCUUGUCAGUCUGCCUAGGCGCAGUUGUACAGAAUGCCCAAUUUCCCAUAAACGUAGGAGUUUUGGAACCCGGAGAUUAUGUUAUGGUAAGAGGCGGGAAUCGGGGCAACCCACAACCUAAUUCUGUAAGCCAAGUAACUGUGCGACAUCAAUUACAUCCUAAAUACAAGGUUAAUAUGGUUAAGUUCCUCGAUCAAGCUCCAGAAACAGGAGGCUUUAUUUCAUUCGUGGGAGGAAUUGGAACUAAUUUUGUUACCUUUGUAUUUACGUCUCAGAGAGGUGGGGGAUACAAUUUUACUUAUCAGCUGUGGGGACAUGACAUAACAGGGGCAGACGGUUUGCGUUCCCUAGAGCCUUCAGAAUGUACUAUGACAGUGGAUGAUGGAAAAACUGUCCAAACUUAUUAUUGCAAUGAAAUGAUUCACUGAAGUCAACAGAUUGUACAAUAAUUAUUGGAGUCAAAUAAAUUGUUCAUUAAUUA
Helicoverpa armigera (cotton bollworm) is the source of this 662-nucleotide long non-coding RNA. RefSeq lists it as uncharacterized. Lineage: Eukaryota; Metazoa; Arthropoda; Insecta; Lepidoptera; Noctuidae. The record is from RefSeq and is a predicted model, not a curated record. The transcript is spliced from 3 exons.